CCGGGGUCUGACUGCAAUGGAGAAGUCUAGUCUCCAAGCUGGGGGACAGCCCAGGAGCAUCUCCUUGGCUGAAGGGCAGGCACUCAGAGGAGAAUAAAAGGCCUGGCAGAGCUCAGUGGCCUCCCUGCAUCUGUACACCUCAGUGCAAUUAAUGAGAACAGCUUUUGGAAAGAGCGUCGUCCCUCUGCUGACUGCCAUUUAGCCUCUGGCUGUCAGAUCACCUGUGGUCACAAUGAAAGCAUCCUGCAGGAUGGAUGAGGGCAGGGACCUACUUCUUCCAUCUAGGACAGCAGGUGCAGGCAUCCCGGGAUAUUCUUCCCUGCAGUGUGAAACCAGGUGAUAUUUACUGGCCCGAGUGAAUGAGCGAAGCGGCCCCAUCGCGGAAUAGAGGGCACUCCUCUCACUCAUGGAUUUUUCUCUCCUUCUUUCUUUCUUCAUUAUGUUUGUAAUUUUGUUUUAUUAUUUCCCAUUGGAAAGCUGUGAAAUGAAAAUGAUGCAAUCUACUGCUGUGAAAUAAUGUCGUGCUCGAGUCCUUUUCCAAUAAGCCCCGAGGUUUGCACUGUGACGGCUUCAUUAAAUUAGUCGACUCCACGGCAAAUGGAAAAGCGCUCAGAGCUUCAGAGUUGGCUAAUCCGCGGUGGGCUGCCAGAGACUGUAGCCCAUGAGGGAGCUCAGACGAUUGGCUCUGCAUGGCAGGGGCCAGCGGGCUUCCACCUGCCACGUGGGGGACAUCUGCACAGCUGCUGGAACUCCCUUAGUCCUCCCACCCCCAAAGCCUGCAUGCCAGACGCUGUCCCAGGUGCUGAAAAGAUGGAGCGGUUGGUUGGGGCAGGAACGCUCAGUGGGUGGCACGGGAGAAGCAGGGCAUUCUUCUGUGGGUCAUUUAAAAGGACACACAGACAUAGGGUUAGCUUCUCUCCAGAGGCUAGGGCUCAUCUUGUCAGAUGCCAGUAGACACGCCUGAGAUGCUUGCUGAUGAAAUACAAGGGCUCCUGCCCCAGCCUUCCAACACCAUCCCCCUGAGUUUCUGAGAACAAAUUCACUCUGGCCGGGCUCCACUGCAGCAUUAAAAAUGUUCAUCCCUGAUAGUUCUUUCCAGUUAGCAUGCUCAGUAUUAAACUCUGUCAUUAUGAAGCUAAAUAUGCACGAUCCCCAAAUCUAUGUGUAUUAUAACAAGAUUUUAUUGUUAUAAAUUUGUCUUCUCUGUC
Peromyscus maniculatus bairdii (prairie deer mouse) is the source of this 1208-nucleotide non-coding RNA. Lineage: Eukaryota; Metazoa; Chordata; Mammalia; Rodentia; Cricetidae. The record is from RefSeq and is a predicted model, not a curated record.